GGAGCGGAGCAGGUGGGUGUCCCUGCGCUGCCCGCUCCCGACGACCCGGAGCGGGGCCGAGCCCGGGACUGGCCCCGGGGAGCGCGGCCGGGGUCGCUGGCGCCACGGCCACGGUGGGCCAGUUGUGGAAGGCUGGGCUGUGGGCCCGGCCGCACCGGGGAGUCUUGCGCAGGGACGGCGCUCGAGUAGGAGGUACCAUCUGACUGGUCUCAAUUUGAGAGUACUGGAACAGACAAAUCUUGUGAUUUCUAAGCCGAAAUUUCAAUAUUGUUUUUCUCCCAUGCUUUGUAACUGGAAAGAAGAAAUGGAAAAGUGUGCUUAUGUUUUGUUUCAUAAUGUCAUUAUUACUACUGGUGAUUGCUGCUACUACUCACCUGUUUUCAGCCAGCUUCGUAAUCCAAAUUAGCUUUCACUGCUUUGAAGCAGGGCAAGCUAGAUGAGAUCUUAUAAAGCACAACUGAUUUAAGUGUUUUACAGUGAGAAUUUUUAUAAAUCUCUAAUCCAACCUCAUCAUAGAGGAAAUUGAAGACCAAAAUCAGAUUUAUAAAUAUGGUUAAGUAGCAGAGCUAGAACCAGAAUCUGGAUCAACUUAGUCCAAUUUAAGACUACCGUGGUUUUCAAAGUUAACACAUGAGAAUUACAUGAGUCCCUUUUUACAAUACUUGAAGCAAACCCUAGAGCAAAUGAAUCAAUUUUGAGAAGUAAGAUUUAGCCAUAGAUAUGUUUUCAAAGUAUCUCAACCAACUAGCAAAGAUUGGGAAAUAAACAUUAUAAAAUAAUGGUGAAGAAAGUAAACAAGACAAGAAGAAAAACAAAAGGAGGCGCUUCUGAAAAAAAUUGAAUCACCUAAAAUUCAGUGUCAUACUUUAUUAUACACACACUCCUUUCUUGCAUGCCAGCCACCACACAGCUGGCAUACAUACUUAACGGCUUUAACCCAGGAAACUCCAGCCACCAAAAUACGUUCCCACCUCCAGGUUCCUGCUAUGAGUUCCUUCCUUGGUUUCUCCUGACGGUGGACCAAAUAAACCUUUUCUUCUGGAAGUUGCUUUUGGAUUUCCUAGCACACCCUCAGCUAAAGCACAUGGAGGUUGAUUGGAAUUUAAAACCCUGUUAAAGAAAAAUAAAACAGCAAAGAA
Long non-coding RNA from Psammomys obesus (fat sand rat), 1139 nucleotides. RefSeq lists it as uncharacterized. NCBI's taxonomy places the organism in Eukaryota, Metazoa, Chordata, Mammalia, Rodentia, Muridae. The transcript is spliced from 4 exons. The record is from RefSeq and is a predicted model, not a curated record.